GGGCCGUUAGCUCAAUGGUAGAGCAGCGGGCUUUUAACCCGACGGUUGCGAGUUCGAGUCUCGCGCGGCCCA
RNAcentral lists this transfer RNA (72 nucleotides) under Deltaproteobacteria bacterium. RNAcentral's name for it is "tRNA-Lys". It matches the Rfam family "tRNA". Rfam says of the family: Transfer RNA (tRNA) molecules are approximately 80 nucleotides in length. Their secondary structure includes four short double-helical elements and three loops (D, anti-codon, and T loops). The record is from RNAcentral. Lineage: Bacteria; Pseudomonadati; Myxococcota; Myxococcia.